AGGGCAUGCACAUUUUGUGUGUUAUUAACAUGGUCAGACAGACUUCUUGAAAAAUUUUAUUCUUUUCAACUUAGAGGACCUAUUUCUGGCUCAGCCAUUUUAUUGGCACCUUUAUCCAAUUAAAUUAAGGUAAAAAAAAAUCCUUUUUUUUUUUCACAAUGCUUCUGUCAUUCUUUCUGAUUCAGCUUUUAAAAGCAGUCCAUCUUCAAGGCCAUGAAGGACCUGUUUAUGCGGUGCAUGCUGUUUACCAGAGGAGGACAUCAGAUCCUGCUUUAUGUACACUGAUCGUUUCUGCAGCUGCAGAUUCUGCUGUUCGACUCUGGUCUAAAAAGGGUUCAGAAGUAAUGUGCCUUCAGACUUUAAACUUUGGAAAUGGAUUUGCUUUGGCUCUCUGCUUGUCUUUUUUGCCAAAUACUGAUGUACCAAUAUUAGCAUGUGGCGAUGAUGAUUGCAGAGUUCACGUAUUUGCUCAACAAAAUGAUCAGUUUCAGAAAGUGCUUUCUCUCUGUGGACAUGAGGAUUGGAUUAGAGGAGUGGAAUGGGCAGCCUUUGGUAGAGAUCUUUUCCUAGCAAGCUGUUCACAAGAU
This 587-nucleotide small RNA is filed under the name Pongo abelii (Sumatran orangutan). Its description in RNAcentral is "retained intron". The record is from RNAcentral. Lineage: Eukaryota; Metazoa; Chordata; Mammalia; Primates; Hominidae.